Molecule: ribosomal RNA, 1285 nt
Filed under: Ochthebius himalayae
Lineage: Eukaryota; Metazoa; Arthropoda; Insecta; Coleoptera; Hydraenidae
Description: 16S ribosomal RNA
Rfam family: Archaeal large subunit ribosomal RNA (bases 1043-1201)
Source: RNAcentral
AUUAAUAAAAUUAUUAAUAAAAAUUUUAAAUAAAUUAUUAUUAAGUUUAAUUAUAAUAAUAGAAAAAAUAAUUUUAAUUAUAGUUUAUAGUAUAGUGAUAGAAAAUUUAAAUAUAUUGAAAAUUUAAAUUUUAAAAAGAAUAAUUAAUUUUUAGUACCUUGUGUAUCAGGGUUUAUUAAUUAAAAUUUAUAUAUUUUAAAUUUCUCGAUAUUAAAAGAGUUAAGUAUUUAUAUUUUUUAAUGUAUAAUAAUUAUUAUAAAUAAAUAUUUAGUAAUGAAAUGUUAUUCGUUUUUAAUUAUAUCUAGUUUUUUAAGAAAUAAAUUUAAUUUAUUUGUUAAUAAAAAUUAAUUUUAAUUAAUAAAAUUAAUUUUAUUUAAUAUUAAAUAUUUUAAGGGAUAAGCUUUAAAAUAAAUUUAUAUAAUAAAUUUGUUAAUAGAAAUUAAAUGUAGGAUUAAAAAUUUUUUUCAUUAAUAAUUUGUUAUAAUUAAUUUUUUUAUAAAAUUAUUUAUAUAUUAUUUAUAUAUUUUAUUAAAAUUAUUUAUUUAAUUUUUAAAUAUAUGUAAUAAUGAUAAAAUUAGUAUAAUUUAUUGUAUAUUUAAAUUAAUUGUUAAAGGUUAAAUUAAGGAAUUCGGCAAAUAAUUUUUCGCCUGUUUAAUAAAAACAUGUCUUUUUGAUUAUAAUUUAAAGUCUAACCUGCCCAAUGAAAGUUUUAAUGGCCGCAGUAUUUUGACUGUGCAAAGGUAGCAUAAUCAUUAGUUUUUUAAUUGAAAGCUUGUAUGAAUGGUUGGACGAGAAAAUUACUGUCUCAAUUUAAUUUUAUUAAAAUUUUAUUUUUAAGUUAAAAAGCUUAAAUAAACUUAAAAGACGAGAAGACCCUAUAGAGUUUUAUUAUUAAAGAUUUAUUGUUUUAUAAAUAUUUUUUAAAUUAUUUAGUAAUUUUAUUGGGGUGAUAAAUAAAUUUAAUUAACUUUAUUUUUUAUUAAACAUUAAUAUAUGAUUUUUUGAUCCAUUAAUAGUGAUUAUAAGAUUAAAUUACCUUAGGGAUAACAGCGUUAUCUUUUUUCAGAGUUCAAAUCGAAAAAAAGGAUUGCGACCUCGAUGUUGGAUUAAAGUUUAUGUUUGGUGUAGAAGCUAAAAUAUUAAGUCUGUUCGACUUUUAAAACUUUACAUGAUCUGAGUUUAAACCGGUGUGAGCCAGGUUGGUUUCUAUCUUUAAGUAAAAUAAAAUAUUUUAGUACGAAAGGACCAAAUAUUUAUAAUAAUUAUUAUUAUUUGAAUGUUAGUA